RNAcentral lists this ribosomal RNA (149 nucleotides) under uncultured bacterium. RNAcentral's name for it is "partial 16S ribosomal RNA". It matches the Rfam family "Bacterial small subunit ribosomal RNA", at positions 1350 to 1500 of the family's 1533-position model. The record is from RNAcentral.
CAGCAUGCCGCGGUGAAUACGUUCCCGGGCCUUGUACACACCGCCCGUCACACCAUGAGAGUCGGGAACACCCGAAGUCCGUAGCCUAACCGCAAGGGGGCGCGGCCGAAGGUGGGUUCGAUAAUUGGGUGAAGUCGUAACAAGGUACC